UCCAUGGUUAAAACUCUUAAAACCAUAGACAUAGAGCAUAGAGCUCUGAUACUCCAUGGUUAAAACUAAAAUGAUUCUUUCGAAUUUUGUGACAUUUCAUCCGCUUUCUUUGUACGCUUCCUUUUCUAAGCAUUUAUAGGUAUAACCUAUAUAUAUCGUUGACGGAGCAAACUCUGUCUAGUGUCUACGAUAUAUCGCUCAUCCAGAACGACAGUGUCAUAAUUACAUUUUUGUAACUUUACAGUAUGAGUAUUUGAAAGUUUGGGACUAAAAAUUUAGGGAAGUUCUUCAUAUUAUCGAAUUAUGUUUUACAUACUUGUCCAGGUUAGUUAAUAAGUGUUUCCGAAUGGUUGUUCAAUAGAGCUUGCCCCCGCAAGGUCUGGAAAGAUGUCUGAGAUGACUAUCUUCAAUGGUAUGGGACUGGUCAGAGAUUUGUUUUAGCAUUUCAUACCAAAUUCAAAUCAAGAAUCCGGAAGCGAACCUCCUUCUCAAACAGUCUACUGAUCAAACAUUAACAACAAAGGCACAAGAAUAUAGGUUGUUCAAUCUCUUUUGGAUCAAACACUUCAAACUGGUAUUUAAUUACAGGAGCUUCUUUUAAGUCUUUAGCUUUUAGCUAUCGUAU
Molecule: unclassified non-coding RNA, 625 nt
Filed under: Melitaea cinxia (Glanville fritillary)
Lineage: Eukaryota; Metazoa; Arthropoda; Insecta; Lepidoptera; Nymphalidae
Description: misc RNA ENSMCXG00005012716.1
Source: RNAcentral